RNAcentral lists this ribosomal RNA (356 nucleotides) under Enterobacter cloacae. RNAcentral's name for it is "partial 23S ribosomal RNA". It matches the Rfam family "Bacterial large subunit ribosomal RNA", at positions 1 to 385 of the family's 2925-position model. Lineage: Bacteria; Pseudomonadati; Pseudomonadota; Gammaproteobacteria; Enterobacterales; Enterobacteriaceae. The record is from RNAcentral.
GGGUUGUGAGGUUAAGCGACUAAGCGUACACGGUGGAUGCCCUGGCAGUCAGAGGCGAUGAAGGACGUGCUAAUCUGCGAAAAGCGCCGGCGAGGUGAUAUGAACCCUUGACCCGGCGAUGUCCGAAUGGGGAAACCCAGUGUGAUUCGUCACACUAUCGUUAACUGAAUACAUAGGUUAACGAGGCGAACCGGGGGAACUGAAACAUCUAAGUACCCCGAGGAAAAGAAAUCAACCGAGAUUCCCCCAGUAGCGGCGAGCGAACGGGGAGCAGCCCAGAGUCUGAAUCAGCUUGUGUGUUAGUGGAAGCGUCUGGAAAGUCGCACGGUACAGGGUGAAAGUCCCGUACACGAAAA